Molecule: transfer RNA, 90 nt
Filed under: Rhodospirillales bacterium
Lineage: Bacteria; Pseudomonadati; Pseudomonadota; Alphaproteobacteria; Rhodospirillales
Description: tRNA-Ser
Rfam family: tRNA
About the family: Transfer RNA (tRNA) molecules are approximately 80 nucleotides in length.
Source: RNAcentral
GGAUGGGUGCCGGAGUGGUUGAACGGGACAGUCUCGAAAACUGUUGAACCUGUAUGGGUUCCGUGGGUUCGAAUCCCACUCCAUCCGCCA